RNAcentral lists this ribosomal RNA (424 nucleotides) under uncultured fungus. RNAcentral describes it as "eukaryotic LSU rRNA". It matches the Rfam family "Eukaryotic large subunit ribosomal RNA", at positions 1 to 422 of the family's 3401-position model. The record is from RNAcentral. Lineage: Eukaryota; Fungi.
GACCUCGGAUCAGGUAGGGAUACCCGCUGAACUUAAGCAUAUCAAUAAGCGGAGGAAAAGAAACCAACAGGGAUUACCUCAGUAACGGCGAGUGAAGCGGUAACAGCUCAAAUUUGAAAGCUAGCUCUUUUAGGGUUCGCAUUGUAAUUUGUAGAAGAUGCUUCGGGUGUGGCCCCGGUCUAAGUUCCUUGGAACAGGACGUCAUAGAGGGUGAGAAUCCCGUAUGUGACUGGGUGCUUUCGCUCAUGUGAAGCUCUUUCGACGAGUCGAGUUGUUUGGGAAUGCAGCUCAAAAUGGGUGGUAAAUUUCAUCUAAAGCUAAAUAUUGGCCAGAGACCGAUAGCGCACAAGUAGAGUGAUCGAAAGAUGAAAAGCACUUUGGAAAGAGAGUUAAACAGUACGUGAAAUUGUUGAAAGGGAAGCGC